GUGAUGGCUCAGCUAGUUAAGAGUACUGGCUGCUCUUCCAGAGGUCCUGGGUUCAAUUCCCAGUGCCCACA
RNAcentral lists this transfer RNA (71 nucleotides) under Mesocricetus auratus (golden hamster). It matches the Rfam family "tRNA". From Rfam's summary of the family: Transfer RNA (tRNA) molecules are approximately 80 nucleotides in length. The record is from Rfam by way of RNAcentral. Lineage: Eukaryota; Metazoa; Chordata; Mammalia; Rodentia; Cricetidae.